Molecule: long non-coding RNA, 735 nt
Filed under: Canis lupus familiaris (dog)
Lineage: Eukaryota; Metazoa; Chordata; Mammalia; Carnivora; Canidae
Description: lncRNA (ENSCAFG00000050758.1)
Source: RNAcentral
GUAGGGACCUCUGGGAGAAACACUGAGCAACAGCCUCCUCCUCUGCUUACCUCCUCCGGGCUCAAGUCUGGGAGACCUACUCCAGGAGGCGCUGUUCCCAGAGUCUGUGCAGAAGCUCUGUCCUCCUACUCGGAGCACUUGGGAAGGCUGCAUCUGGCCUGUCUUCCUUUCCUGGUCUGAGGGGAGCUGGUGCCAGAAAGAAGUUGAAAAUGUCACUCUCUCUGCCUUGUGGAAUUGGGACAAGUAUUGUUCUGGGAAGAAGUGAGAAAAAGGUGGAUUGAAAGCUCUUCAGAGCCUAGCACAAUGUGAACACAGCAGGCUUUUGCUCAUGUCUAAGAAUUAUGAUGUUUUAUUUUCAGGAAUAGAACUUAAUCAAUUUCAAGCCAGGAAAAAAAUUUUACCAAGAAAAUCACUAACUCAGGAUGCUUUUAUACUUUAUUCACUUAAAACAAUGAUAAAUAGUUCACUGUGUUUCAUGUCUUUAUAGCAAUCCGAUUUUUUUAAACUACUUUUUUGUUUUACCAACCUGUCUGAAAAGCUGGUGUGUAAUUUUCUGCUAUUUGUAAUUGGUUUACAUUUUUGACACAAACUUUUAUGUACAUAUAUUUGAUUGUUAAAUAUGAACUUACAUGAAUUGAGCUAAUUCUACUUGACUAUAAUAUUUACUGGAGCCUCAUGGAUUAAAAAGAAAUAUUUUGCAAAUUCAUAUUAAAAAUUCAUUUUUCAGAAAUAUAA